AUAAAACCUCAGAGUGUGGAAUAAAUGUUUAAAUGAUGCUGUAGGUUGCUUAAAUAAAUGAAUAGAGGAAAGAGGAGGGCUGGGUAGGGCUAAGCUUGACAGGGCAUGCACGAAAUUGGGUAAGGUUACAGGUUGCGUAAAUAAAACCUCUGAGUGUGGAAUAAAUAUCUAAAUGAUGUUGUAGGUUGCUUAAAUAAAUGAAUAGAGGAAAGAGGAGGACUGGGUAGGGCUAAGCUUGACAGGGCAUGCACAAAAUUGGGUAAGGUUACAGGUUGUAUAAAUAAAAGACCUCUGAGUGUGAAAUAAAUGUUUUAAUGUUGCUAUUGAUUGUAUAGGCGGAUGGAUCCCUUCCCGCGGCGUGGUGGUGGUGGGUGGGGACAAUAUACAAACACCUCCAUAGGCAAGUUUAGCCAGGAAGGAUGAGAUGAACAGGUUUUAAUGAGGCGAUAACUUAACUAAUCGUAUUCUGCCAGAGAAGAAAAGAACCCAGGAGUGUGUGUGUGUGUGUGUGUGUGUGUGUGUGUGUGUGUGUGUGUGUAUAGGGAAGCUCUGGCUGGUUGUGUGUGGAGUAUUUCAAUUUAAAUUAAUGCUACUGAUAUCUAUAUACAAAUUCAGCCCUACCUUUCUUUAUGUGUGUGUGUGUGUGUGUGUGUGUGUGUGUGUGUGUGAGACCAAAACAGCAAAGCAGAGAGCACAACCCUCGACAAUAGUAAUAAAAUAGCUAUCUGUGUCCUAGUAAUUAGAUUUCCUAGUUCCGUCACCUCCUCCUCCUCCCCUCUACCUCCUCUUUUUUUUUAGGAGGUAAUGUAAUGUGACAAUUUUUCUCCCUAUCAACUUCUCUUCCAUGAUUCCUUGUAUAAGUUUCCCAAUUUUUCUUUUAUAUUCUCUGAUUUGUUUCAUCAUUUCCUCCCAAUUCCUUCUCUCCAAAAUAUGUGUGUGUGUGUGUGUGUGUGUGUGUGUGUGUG
Long non-coding RNA from Eriocheir sinensis (Chinese mitten crab), 965 nucleotides. RefSeq lists it as uncharacterized. Lineage: Eukaryota; Metazoa; Arthropoda; Malacostraca; Decapoda; Varunidae. The record is from RefSeq and is a predicted model, not a curated record. The transcript is spliced from 2 exons.